This 69-nucleotide transfer RNA is filed under the name Aix galericulata (mandarin duck). RNAcentral describes it as "tRNA-Phe". It matches the Rfam family "tRNA". Rfam says of the family: Transfer RNA (tRNA) molecules are approximately 80 nucleotides in length. Their secondary structure includes four short double-helical elements and three loops (D, anti-codon, and T loops). Further hydrogen bonds mediate the characteristic L-shaped molecular structure. tRNAs have two regions of fundamental functional importance: the anti-codon, which is responsible for specific mRNA codon recognition, and the 3' end, to which the tRNAs corresponding amino acid is attached (by aminoacyl-tRNA synthetases). tRNAs cope with the degeneracy of the genetic code in two manners: having more than one tRNA (with a specific anti-codon) for a particular amino acid; and 'wobble' base-pairing, i.e. permitting non-standard base-pairing at the 3rd anti-codon position. The record is from RNAcentral. Lineage: Eukaryota; Metazoa; Chordata; Aves; Anseriformes; Anatidae.
GUUCACAUAGCUUAAUGCUAAAGCAUGGCACUGAAGCUGCCAAGAUGGCACACGAUGAUGCCUGCGAAC